GGCGGACGGGUGAGUAACGCGUGAGAAUCUGCCCCUAAGACCGGGACAACAGUUGGAAACGACUGCUAAUACCGGAUGAGCUGAGAAGUAAAAGAUUUAUCGCUUAGGGAUGAGCUCGCGUCAGAUUAGCUAGUUGGUAGUGUAAAGGACUACCAAGGCGACGAUCUGUAGCUGGUCUGAGAGGAUGAGCAGCCACACUGGGACUGAGACACGGCCCAGACUCCUACGGGAGGCAGCAGUGGGGAAUUUUCCGCAAUGGGCGAAAGCCUGACGGAGCAAUACCGCGUGAGGGAGGAGGGUUCUUGGAUCGUAAACCUCUUUUCUCUGGGAAGAUAAUGACGGUACCAGAGGAAUAAGCAUCGGCUAACUCCGUGCCAGCAGCCGCGGUAAUACGGAGGAUGCAAGCGUUAUCCGGAGUGAUUGGGCGUAAAGAGUCCGUAGGUGGUUGUGAAAGUCUGUGGUUAAAGCGCGAAGCUCAACUUCGUAAGGGCCAUGGAAACUAUGCGACUAGAGUGAGAUAGGGGUAGAGGGAAUUCUUGGUGUAGCGGUGAAAUGCGUAGAUAUCAAGAAGAACACCGGUGGCGAAAGCGCUCUACUGGAUCUUAACUGACACUGAGGGACGAAAGCUAGGGGAGCGAAAGGGAUUAGAUACCCCUGUAGUCCUAGCCGUAAACGAUGGAUACUAGUUGUUGCGGGUAUCGACCCCUGCAGUGACGAAGCUAACGCGUUAAGUAUCCCGCCUGGGGAGUACGCACGCAAGUGUGAAACUCAAAGGAAUUGACGGGGGCCCGCACAAG
This 797-nucleotide ribosomal RNA is filed under the name uncultured bacterium. Its description in RNAcentral is "bacterial SSU rRNA". It matches the Rfam family "Bacterial small subunit ribosomal RNA", at positions 97 to 929 of the family's 1533-position model. The record is from RNAcentral.